This 499-nucleotide unclassified non-coding RNA is filed under the name Hevea brasiliensis (rubber tree). The record is from RNAcentral. Lineage: Eukaryota; Viridiplantae; Streptophyta; Magnoliopsida; Malpighiales; Euphorbiaceae.
AAUCGAGAAUUGUAAGAUUCUAACUACAGUGUGCAAUAUUUCAAUGUUAAGUUUUUGAUUCAUGGAAAAGCCCAAUAUUGAAACUUGUAAGAACAGAUAGGACUUGAAUUCAUCAUCAUAUGCAAACUUAUUAUAAUUGUAUAUGCAAAGGAAACAACAAACAAGUGAAGGUAUCCACACAUGCAAAGGGAAAAUCCAAAGCCAAUAGGAAAAGUAAUGUGAACAUGCUAACAUGGACGGAAAACAAAAUUUUAAAUUAAGUGAUGUGCAACAUCCAACAAGAUACCUUAAAAAAAGUUCAGUUAUGCCAGACUACAGGGAAAACCUUAUCAGAAAGCAUUUAGAGAAACAAUUAAGAAAAUUCUCUGGCUGUCACAAACAUACAUUGACAAGUCGGCUUAAGGUUCCACACACAUUCAUAAUAAUGUAUGCACAUAAGGUGCGAAUAGAUGGAAAAGGAGACAACAUUCACCAAGAAGCAGAAGAAAAAUGAUUAUGG